CCUUUCCUACGGGGGGAAGCAGUAGGGAAUUUUGCGCAAUGGGCGAAAGCCUGACGCAGCAACACCGCGUGAAUGUUAAGCCCUUCGGGGUGUAAAGUUCUGUCAAUAGGGACGAAUUUUGACUGUACCUAUAAAGGAAGCACCGGCUAACUCCGUGCCAGCAGACGCGGUAAUAAGGGGGGUGCAAGCGUUGUCCGGAAUCAUUGGGCGUAAAGCGUUCGUAGGCGGCAAGGUACGUCUGAUGUUAAAGCCCGGGGCUCAACUCCGGUUCGGCAUUGGAUACUAUCUAGCUAGAAUGUGGUAGA
Molecule: ribosomal RNA, 305 nt
Filed under: uncultured bacterium
Lineage: Bacteria
Description: bacterial SSU rRNA
Rfam family: Bacterial small subunit ribosomal RNA
Source: RNAcentral